This 421-nucleotide unclassified non-coding RNA is filed under the name uncultured Ascomycota. RNAcentral's name for it is "sequence contains ITS2". The record is from RNAcentral. Lineage: Eukaryota; Fungi; Ascomycota.
AACUUUUGACAAUGGAUCUCUACCGCCGCGCUCUGGACGCCAAACCGUCCUAUCCGCUGGCGCAUUUCCAUCUUGGCCGCAUCUACGCGAAUCAGAACAAAUACGCGCUGGCUAUCCAGGAAUUCGAGAAAUCUUUGGAACCGCCCAGUGAGGCGACGCCCACAUAUUUAUACGCGCUGGCGGCGACGAAUGCGCGAUCCGGCUCUCGCGCGCGCGCCGUCGAGCUGAUGCGAGAAGCGCGCACACAGGCCUCCGCGCGGGGGCAGACCGCUCUGGUGGCGAGUAUCGACCGCGAUCUCGCCAGGAUGGGCGCGAGGCCGUGAGGUGCGGGACAACCGAGCCGCUUUGGUGGAUCACACCCCAAAUCGGAGAUUUUGCUCAUGCAAGCUGAAUCACUUAAGCAUAUCAAUAAGCGGAGGCU